GACGAACGCUGGCGGCGUGCCUAAUACAUGCAAGUCGAGCGCAGGAAGUCAUCCGAACCCUUCGGGGGGACGUUGACGGAAUGAGCGGCGGACGGGUGAGUAACACGUAAAGAACCUGCCCUCAGGUCUGGGAUAACCACGAGAAAUCGGGGCUAAUACCGGAUGGGUCAUCGGACCGCAUGGUCCGAGGAUGAAAGGCGCUCCGGCGUCGCCUGGGGAUGGCUUUGCGGUGCAUUAGCUAGUUGGUGGGGUAAUGGCCCACCAAGGCGACGAUGCAUAGCCGACCUGAGAGGGUGAUCGGCCACACUGGGACUGAGACACGGCCCAGACUCCUACGGGAGGCAGCAGUAGGGAAUCUUCCACAAUGGACGAAAGUCUGAUGGAGCAACGCUGCGUGAACGAUGAAGGCCCUCGGGUCGUAAAGUUCUGUUGUAAGGGAAGAACAAGUGCCGCAGGCAAUGGCGGCACCUUGACGGUACCUUGCGAGAAAGCCACGGCUAACUACGUG
Molecule: ribosomal RNA, 508 nt
Filed under: uncultured bacterium
Lineage: Bacteria
Description: partial 16S ribosomal RNA
Rfam family: Bacterial small subunit ribosomal RNA
Source: RNAcentral